This is a small nucleolar RNA of Ornithorhynchus anatinus (platypus), 138 nucleotides long. The record is from RefSeq and is a predicted model, not a curated record. Lineage: Eukaryota; Metazoa; Chordata; Mammalia; Monotremata; Ornithorhynchidae.
CCCCUCUCAGGGUCACACCUGGAGAGUUUCCAGUACUCGACCAGUCUUGGCUAUGGGAGGGAGAGUCAACCAGAGGCUUACACAUUCCAAUCUUAGCUUGGGCAGUGGCUAACAAGUGGAAGACAAUCUGCUGCAAGU